RNAcentral lists this ribosomal RNA (422 nucleotides) under uncultured bacterium. RNAcentral's name for it is "bacterial SSU rRNA". It matches the Rfam family "Bacterial small subunit ribosomal RNA", at positions 355 to 774 of the family's 1533-position model. The record is from RNAcentral.
UGAGGAAUAUUGGGCAAUGCCCGCAAGGGUGACCCAGCAACGCCGCGUGGAGGAUGAAUGUCGUAAGAUUGUAAACUCCUGUUAGAGGGGAAGAAUAGUACCGGUUGGACCGGUAUAUGACUGUACCCUCAGAGAAAGCCCCGGCUAACUACGUGCCAGCAGCCGCGGUAAUACGUAGGGGGCAAGCGUUGUCCGGAUUUACUGGGUGUAAAGGGCGCGCAGGCGGGAUAAAAAGUCAGUGGUGAAAUCCUACAGCUUAGCUGUAGAACUGCCUUUGAUACUUUUAUUCUUGAGUUCGGGAGAGAGAGACGGAAUUCCAGGUGUAGUGGUGAAAUACGUAGAUAUCUGGAAGAACACCAGUUGCGAAGGCGGUCUCUUGGUCCGACACUGACGCUGAGGCGCGAAAGCGUGGGGAGCAAACA